AUUUCCAUCACUAUAGUUUCCAAUAAUCAGAUCAGGGGUGGCCUGCAACUCUCCAGCAAGUUCAUUUGCAACAUCCUCAGCAUAAGUCUCUAGGUAAGGCCAAACAUCGAAACGGGAGAUCCAUUUGCGAAGAAUUCCCUUUUCAGUUCUAAAGGGAACCCUUAGAAUGUGCGUAUGCUCGGUUCCGAGGACCUUCUCAAGGCGCUGACCACAAGUAGUCCCAACUGCAUCAGGUAGCAACCUUGUCACAAUUAGUAUUCGAGGGGUUAUAUCGAGGCCUUGUUGUUUAAUUUUGAGAAGCAUCUCAG
RNAcentral lists this unclassified non-coding RNA (308 nucleotides) under Hevea brasiliensis (rubber tree). The record is from RNAcentral. Lineage: Eukaryota; Viridiplantae; Streptophyta; Magnoliopsida; Malpighiales; Euphorbiaceae.